UCCCUGGAGGACUAGUGGUUAGGCCUUGGUGCUCUCACCGCCAUGACCAGGGUUCAAAUCCCUGACCCAGGGAA
Non-coding RNA from Pangasianodon gigas (Mekong giant catfish), 74 nucleotides. Lineage: Eukaryota; Metazoa; Chordata; Actinopteri; Siluriformes; Pangasiidae. The record is from the annotation of a GenBank genome assembly.